CAGCCACAUCACAUUGAAACAUUGGUUCCCAUAUAAUCACCAAAGUUAAGCAAUGUUAAGCCUUGUCAGUAACUAGAUAGGUGACCACUUGGGACUACCAGGUGCUGUAAG
Molecule: non-coding RNA, 111 nt
Organism: Acanthosepion pharaonis
Lineage: Eukaryota; Metazoa; Mollusca; Cephalopoda; Sepiida; Sepiidae
Source: the annotation of a GenBank genome assembly